AUGUUUAUUUUGAAGUCUUUAUUAUUUUUCUUUUUUCUUUUUUUUUUUUUUUUUUUUUUUAAGAAAGAAAGGCAAAGCAGCCUGAAACCACAGGUUUCUUUCUUUCUUUCUUUCUUUCUUUCUUUCUUUCUUUCUUUCUGUCUUUCUUUCUUUCUUUCUUUCUUUCUUUCUUUCUUUCUUUCUUUCUUUCUUUCUGUCUUUUUUCACAGACUGCUUUUAAUCCCCUCCACCACUCACAGAAGUCCUCUCCGAGCCCUGGAAAUGAGAAACUCUGGUAGAGCGAAUGGUGAUAGCUCAUGGUUGGGCCCUUUUGGGAUCCAAGGGCGCUGUAGGCAACUAGAACGGUAUCCUUGGACUUGCAGAAAACUUCAGGAGCUUGCUCUGGUUGAGGAAAACAGAAGCCCUCUGCCUGAAGUCCACACUCACUGUCAUAGACAAGGGGACAUGGGGCUGCCCCUCGGCCAGCGGGAAAGACUUCCGUGA
This 483-nucleotide long non-coding RNA is filed under the name Canis lupus familiaris (dog). Its description in RNAcentral is "lncRNA (ENSCAFG00040001443.1)". The record is from RNAcentral. Lineage: Eukaryota; Metazoa; Chordata; Mammalia; Carnivora; Canidae.